ACUUGGAUCGUCCAGUGGUUAGGAUAGAAGACUGUGGAUCUUCUGACCCGGGUUCAAAUCCCGGUCCAGGUC
This 72-nucleotide transfer RNA is filed under the name Candidatus Diapherotrites archaeon CG08_land_8_20_14_0_20_30_16. RNAcentral describes it as "tRNA-His". It matches the Rfam family "tRNA". Rfam says of the family: Transfer RNA (tRNA) molecules are approximately 80 nucleotides in length. Their secondary structure includes four short double-helical elements and three loops (D, anti-codon, and T loops). Lineage: Archaea; Nanobdellati; Candidatus Iainarchaeota. The record is from RNAcentral.